RNAcentral lists this transfer RNA (73 nucleotides) under Ixodes scapularis (black-legged tick). It matches the Rfam family "tRNA". Rfam says of the family: Transfer RNA (tRNA) molecules are approximately 80 nucleotides in length. Their secondary structure includes four short double-helical elements and three loops (D, anti-codon, and T loops). Lineage: Eukaryota; Metazoa; Arthropoda; Arachnida; Ixodida; Ixodidae. The record is from Rfam by way of RNAcentral.
UCCUGGUUAGCUCAGUUGGGAGAGCGCUUCACUGGAAAUGGAGAAGUUCCUGGUUCGAUACCAAGACCAGGCG